GAUGAACGCUGGCGGCGUGCCUAAUACAUGCAAGUCGAGCGAACGGACGAGAAUCUUUCUUCUCUGAUGUUAUCGGCGGACGGGUGAGUAACACGUGGAGAACCUACAUAUAAGACUGGGAGAACUUCGGGAAACCGGAGCUAAUAUCGGGUAAUAUUUUGAACUUCAUGGUUCAAAAGUGAAAAACGGUCUUGCUGUCACUUAUAGAUGUAUCCGCGCUGCAUUAGCUAGUUUGUGAGGUAACGGCGUACCAAGGCAACGAUGCAUAGCCCACCUGGGAGGGGGAUCGGCCACACUGGGACAGAGACACGGCCCAGACUCCUACGGGGGGCAAGAGUAGGGAAACUUCCGCAAAGGGGGAAAGGCUGACGGAGCAAAGCCGCGUGAGGGAAGAAGGGUUUCGGAUCGGAAAACUCUUUUUUAAGGGAAGAAAAAUUACGUUAGUAACUGAACGUACCUUGACGGUACCUUACCAGAAAGCCACGGCUAACUACGUG
Molecule: ribosomal RNA, 497 nt
Filed under: uncultured bacterium
Lineage: Bacteria
Description: partial 16S ribosomal RNA
Rfam family: Bacterial small subunit ribosomal RNA
Source: RNAcentral